Long non-coding RNA from Astatotilapia calliptera (eastern happy), 392 nucleotides. Lineage: Eukaryota; Metazoa; Chordata; Actinopteri; Cichliformes; Cichlidae. The record is from Ensembl.
GAUAACUAUUGCAUUUGUUAAACUGAUUUGCAUUACAUUAGACUGCUGAUUUAUUGUGAAUGAAUGAUAUUGUUUUAUGAUGCAUUAUACUGCUGAGUUAUAAGAAAUACUGUUUGCAGAAAGUCAUCGCCUUAUUUGUCUGAUUAGAAGAGAACAGAACAUACUGGAGUUUUCUGCCCCAUCUCAGCAGGAGCAGAUAAACAGGGAGCCAAGGUCGUAGCUUAGGCGCCGUGUGAGAGAAAGCAUGUGAAUGUUUAGGCUUUUAUGAUAAGGUGGAGGCACCAGAGGCUAUAAGAGUUUGAUCAAUGCUCCACCAUUUUGAGAUCUGAGGCUGUCUGCAUACAGUGUCCAUCUCCCACGUGUGUGAUCAUUAAAAUCAUUGUUUGACUUAA